Molecule: ribosomal RNA, 446 nt
Filed under: uncultured bacterium
Lineage: Bacteria
Description: partial 16S ribosomal RNA
Rfam family: Bacterial small subunit ribosomal RNA
Source: RNAcentral
GUGGGGAAUAUUGGACAAUGGGGGGAACCCUGAUCCAGCCAUGCCGCGUGGAGGAAGACUGCCCUCUGGGUUGUAAACUCCUUUUAUAUGGGAAGAACCGUCCUCAUUAAUGAGUGACCUGACGGUACCAUAGGAAUAAGCACCGGCUAACUCCGUGCCAGCAGCCGCGGUAAUACGGAGGGUGCAAGCGUUAUCCGGAUUCACUGGGUUUAAAGGGUGCGUAGGCGGAUAAAUAAGUCAGUGGUGAAAUCAACGGGCUCAACCUGUUAACUGCCAUUGAUACUGUGUAUCUUGAAUAUGAGAGAGGUAGGCGGAAUGUUGCAUGUAGCGGUGAAAUGCUUAGAUAUGCUACGGAACACCGAUUGCGAAGGCAGCUUACUAUUUCGUAAUUGACGCUGAGGCACGAAAGCGUGGGUAGCGAACAGGAUUAGAAACCCCGGUAGUCC